RNAcentral lists this long non-coding RNA (621 nucleotides) under Pogona vitticeps (central bearded dragon). RNAcentral describes it as "lncRNA (ENSPVIG00000000677.1)". The record is from RNAcentral. Lineage: Eukaryota; Metazoa; Chordata; Lepidosauria; Squamata; Agamidae.
AUGCUUAACACUUUGUUAAAAUUUUAUCAGGAAAACUUUGAGAUAACAUCAGAUCAAGAAGCAGCUGUAGUAAUAAACAUUGCACAGUCUCUGUCGAAAGAUUUGAAAGCUUUUUGUGAAAAGAAAGCAACUCUCAAGUAUAUUAAAACUCUUCCAUCGUUGAUGUCACAAGGGGAAAUAAAUGAAAGUCAGCAUAAUCCUGUCAAACCAUUUGAAAGUAACAAAGACCAACCAGGAGAUGGUUGGACUAAGCAUGGAGGUCUGACAGAGGGACUUGCAAAGUUACAGGCCCUAUUACAACAGGUGCCAAUUACUUCACACACCCGUGCUGAUUCAUCUGACUACCGACUGGGGAGGAAAACUUCUUUACAUGGCCUGUAUUCUAACGAUCUUGCAACAGUGUCUGCUCUUAAAGGUUCGCUUGCCUUUCAACCAGGAAGCUUUCAUUCUGGAAUGAAUAAGUGGAUGAAAGAAUUCAACCAGUCUGCUUCGACUUAUUUCCAGUCAACCCCAGCUGAAGAAGAGUCUCCCCACUUUAGAUCAGCACGAAGAAACUACAUGACGAAACGUAAUCAGGAUGGCAGGUUACCCUUCAGAAAGAAAAUCCUCAAGGUAUCAUGA